Long non-coding RNA from Passer montanus (Eurasian tree sparrow), 1463 nucleotides. RefSeq lists it as uncharacterized. Lineage: Eukaryota; Metazoa; Chordata; Aves; Passeriformes; Passeridae. The transcript is spliced from 3 exons. The record is from RefSeq and is a predicted model, not a curated record.
AUCACACCAAACUGCAUUCAGCUGGCUCCUCACUUCCCCUUCCAGGAAAAAAGGUUUUAACACCAAUGGAAGACAUUAAAUAAUUGGUGAAAAUGAAAGAUCUGCUUUCAUUUCUGUCCCCAGUCACCUGCACUUGGCACGUUGUGCCUUGUCAGCACAGUGGCCUGGAUCAUACUGUGCUGCCUGGUGCCAUCUCUGGGAAACACCCAUAUAAGGACUCCUUAGACAGCAGCUGCAGCAGCCGGGCUGACUGCUGGGGCACUUCCAGACAUCUGCCUUGGAAACAGGGAUUUGAAGAUGCUCCAUUUUGCACAACCUUUGCCUUAGGGUGCACAUCAGCACUGCUGCUGUCUGCUGUCCUUCGUGUUUGGGAAUCAGAGCACAGCUUUCCUUCUGCAAUGACUCAAGACCAGUACCUUUCUGAUAGUACCCUGCUGAUUUGUACUGCCCACAGUUCUCUCAUUUCUAAUUAGUCCAUAUGGUAACAUGGCUCAAAUUUUGGGCACCCCUUAGUAUCAAGCUCAGCCAGAGUACUUGGCUUGCUUUGGCUUCCCAGGAGCAGGUGUACUGGGGAAAUGGUGGGAAUGCAGGGACAUAAACAGGAUUGUUAAAAAUUAACAUGAAGAACCUCACUGCCUCUUCAGAUGCUUAAAUAACAUUUGAAAUCUGUCCUCUGAUAUUAGUUCUUCUCAUUGGAUGGUUUUGAGAAUGUAGUUAUUGCACACACAAGGAUUUUAAUCUGCAAAGGGUCUCUCCUGUCCCUCCCAGAAGUUUUGAAAGCUCACAGUCAUCUCAUCUGCUCUGCCUGUGGCUUUGGACUGAGCAGUUCAGGGCACCUCAUUGCUCCCCUUUCAUCUGAAGGCCAAUCUGACUCCAGAGUACAGAGGAGAAGUGACUCACAAUGAGCUCUCUGGACACUGGACUUCAUUCCAUUCCCUCAAGCACUAUCCAUGUUGCUCAAUUUUUAGCACUUGGUCUCAGGAAAAUCUCAUCCUUCAAGGCCACAAGGGAUCUUCUUUACUAUGUGUAAUGCUCUUCACACACAGCCAUGGGGUUUCUAUAAGGAGUUCCUGCACCUGCUCUGUGUCCUUCACUGCACUAAAACUAUCAGACAGAUACCUUUGAUUUAAUGCUCUCUGCUCUCAGGGAUAUUCCUGCAUUUCUAGGUCCAUGCUUCCAAUGGCUUAUUAUUUCCCCUGAGGAUUCACACAAGGUGUCUUGCUUGAGGACAUGGCAAUGCUUUAAAAGGAAAGUUUUGGGGCUGAAGCCAAGCACCAGGCACUGAGAGAGGUCACAUUGCUCUUAGGAUGUCCUGGGUCCUUCACCCUUUUACUCUGAUACUUUUUGUUGAUCUGGGGAAAAUUCCUCUAGUGUCCCACUGCUGGAAGGUCUUAUUUGGGAGCAGGUGACUGUGCCAUCCCCUCAGAGGGUACCUUGUCUCCUCCAGGGAUUUGACCAAACCA